This 184-nucleotide transfer RNA is filed under the name Candidatus Woesearchaeota archaeon. RNAcentral describes it as "tRNA-Ile". The record is from RNAcentral. Lineage: Archaea; Nanobdellati; Candidatus Woesearchaeota.
GGUCCCGUAGCUCAGCCUGGUACACUUUUACGAAAAAAUAUGGGCAAUGGAGCGCACGACUGAUAAUCGUGAGGCCCCGCGUUCAAAAUGCAAGUAUCCUGUGCGAGAUUCUCAAGGGGGAUGUUCCUACGGAAAUCCCACGACGAAAGCAAAAGAAUACUUGAUGAAAGUCGCGGCGGGACCA